This 499-nucleotide ribosomal RNA is filed under the name uncultured bacterium. Its description in RNAcentral is "partial 16S ribosomal RNA". It matches the Rfam family "Bacterial small subunit ribosomal RNA", at positions 28 to 507 of the family's 1533-position model. The record is from RNAcentral.
GAUGAACGCUGGCGGCGUGCCUAAUACAUGCCAGUCGAGCGAACAGACGAGAGUGCUUGCACUCUCUGACGUUAGCGGCGGACGGGUGAGUAACACGUGGGUAACCUACCUAUAAGACUGGGAUAACUUCGGGAAACCGGAGCUAAUACCGGAUAAUAUUUAGCUUCGCAUGAAGCAAUAGUGAAAGACGGUUCUGUUGUCACUUAUAGAUGGACCCGCGGUGUAUUAGCUAGUUGGUGAGGUAACGGCUCACCAAGGCAACGAUACAUAGCCGACCUGAGAGGGUGAUCGGCCACACUGGGACUGAGACACGGCCCAGACUCCUACGGGAGGCAGCAGUAGGGAAUCUUCCGCAAUGGACGAAAGUCUGACGGAGCAAUGCAGCGUGAGUGAAGAAGGUUUUCGGAUCGUAAAACUCUGUUGUAAGGGAAGAACAAGUACGUUAGUAACUGAACGUACCUUGACGGUACCUUACCAGAAAGCCACGGCUAACUACGUG